UCAUUUUUAGGCCUAAUUUUAGACUUAACCCAUAAUUCCUAAGCCCAUAAUUCAUAGGCCCAUACCCCUAAUCUAAAAAAAACCUAUAAAAUAAAAGAGACCCUAGGACCUAAUGGAGGAGAUCAGCCAUUUCUUCUUCUGAUUUUGAGGACCAACCUAGAGAAAAAUGAAAGAAGCUAUCAUCUUUAAUCCCUAGAGCUAACCGAACAAAGGGACUGAUCAACGGAAAAAUACAACAACAAAAAAGGACUAGACUUUAGGACACAAAAAAAGAUGCUAGCAGCUAAAGACCUAAAAACCUAGGGAGAUGAGCGCCAUUUUCUGAGAAUAGAGCUCUUCCCAUCGUCGCUUCUUCCUCAGAGAACCAAAUACCCGAAUUCCCCCAUAGUUCUUCACCAUCCUCAGCAUCUCCAAACCUUGAACACCCAAAACAACACACACCCAAAAAACAACCAGCACCCUAGAAGAACGCAACAACCAUAAACGGACCCCUCCAUGUCCUUCAUCUUCUUAAACAUUAGAAAACCAAGGAACCCAUCUUCUUCACGAUAAACUUGAAGCAGCGAAACAGAGCUCGACCAGCCGACAACAUUCAGUCCAAAACGGAAAUAAGUCAAGAACAGUAAAGAAAACAAAAUAAGUAAAAGUUGAAAACAAUAUGAGUCCAAAAGCUCAUUUCGAGUUCUUUUCUGGCGAGAUCUUCGGUCCAUCGAGGUUGCUGGUUCGAGGUUCGUUCGUGGGUGACCUUGAUUUCAACGUGAAUGGUUCGCAGUUAUACGAUCUGUUUAAUCAGGUUGGUCGUUACGUAUUUGAAUUCUCAAAGCAUUGAAUUUGCAUUUUCUUAUACGGUAUGUUAUGUCGCUUCUAAUUCGUUUGAAUUUGCACUUCUUAUAAGUGCUAUUAUGUCGUUUAUGGCAUCCAUCUUUAUAUAUAUAUAAAACUUUUAGAAGUACAAUCGCCUACUGAUUCUUUCCUUGAGUUUUCCUUAUUUAAAUCAUAUUGCCGAGUUGUUACUUGUAUUUGAAGUUAGAUAUUACAAUAGAUGGAUGUUUGGUUUUGGUUUGUGCUCAAAGGAAAUUGACUGAUUUCAAAUAACCAUUUUGUGGCUUUAUAUUUAGAAGUCAAUGAGUUUUAUCAAAAUUAGACUCACAGAUGCAAAGUUUGAAAGGUCUUGUUGUAUUUUGUUGAUCUUCUGAAGGAGAAGUCUUAUUCCAUUGCUAAAUCGUAUAUGGUAGUAUUGAGUGUUGGUGAUAAUUGUAAAGAUAUGUUAAGAGAUAGCACGUUAGUAUUUGUGGAAUUCGAUUUUGUUCGAUUGUUAUAGUUGAAUACAAAUCUCUUCUUUAAAGAAAUUGAGGCGCGCCAUUCACACAAUUGAAUCACAUAGCUUAUGGCCAUCAUAUUAAUUUUACAACUUAGUGUAGAAAACACUUUGAAUUCUCGUAGUUUGCUUUAGGCCCGUUGAUUAAAAAGUGUCAUAGCUACGGGUACGGUUUCCGUGACGUAGUUGUGACACACAAUUUCCAAAUCUGGGUGUGCAUUUCAUGUGACCCGACUUCAAUAUCCAAUAAUGUUUAAUAAAUAAAUAUGUCAUGAACCGCGAGUGCAUUUCAUGUAGCGUGGCUUACGAUAUGUUUUAAAUAACCUUGAAUUUUCCUGAAAUACUAAAAGCGGCUAGAAAGUUUAAAAAAUGCACAUAGGUUUUAAAAUGUGUAAUUACAUCAAAUAAUUAUGUCAAUAAUAACAGUUGAGCGACCUUGCUAAAAUCACGGAACUCGGGAAUGCCUAACACCUUGUCACGACCCAAAAUCCCAACCCGGUCGUGAUGGCGCCUCUCGUGAGGACAAGGCCAGCCAAUCAACAAAACAGUACAUCUCUUUAUAAUUACUUAGCAGGAAUAAGUCUAAAUCAUGGGCAAUAUAAUCUUAAAUGCGAAAUAAACGUAAUAGAACAAGGAAAACCCUCCCAACUCAGCCCGAAAUCGGGGUGUCACAAGUCAUGAGCUACUACAGAGUUUACUAAUAUUUUACAAAGUCUGGANNNNNNNNNNNNNNNNNNNNNNNNNUCAUCUCAACAUAGCAGUAUGUUGUGCAAUCCGGGGUUUCAAACCCUUAGUGCAUCAUUUAAAAUCAUUACUCACCUCAAGACGGUCCAAUGUCUACUCCGCUAUGCCCUUGCCUCUCGAAUUUACCUCUUCGCGCGUCGAAUCUCAAGAUUUCCUGCUAAAGUCGCCCAAAAUCCGAGCUUGGAAGUCAAAAAAAUGACCAAACUCGGACUGCUGGACAUUAAAUCUGUCCAGAAAUUUUCGGUACUGUUCAUGCGGGGGCACUGUUCAUGCGCAUGAUGUGACUGUUCAUUGUUCACCCGCGCGGUUACUAUUCACGCGCGGUUACUGUUCACUGCUGCAGAAAAUACAGCAGCUUUUAAGAAAUUUGCAGCACAACCAUUUUUCACUAAAAUGACUCUAACUCCAUCAUACGAACUAGGAAUUAGACGAUUCUUGUUCCUAUGAGUCACAAAUAAUAAUACGAACACAACCCUUCAAUCGAAACUCAAUUCAAAGCUCGUUUGCCCAGUUGAAUACCCAUUUCGCUCGUUAAACAAUUAACUCACAUUUCACGUCAAAAACCCAAUCGCGACUUGAUGAAAUUAAACCAAAAUUUCCAGACCAGUCUUAUAAUUCAUGAUUUAAAUUCUGGAAGCCUGAAAUCUAAUUUGGAUCUCUAGAACUAAAAAUGAACCUUUAGAUCAUUACAUUUAUGCUCAAAACGGCAAAAUAUUUCCAAAAAUGACCCGUUGGGCAUCCGAAACACACCCGAGGCCCUCGGGACCUUAACCAAUUAUAUCAACAUGUCCCACAAUAUCAUUCAAACUUGUCCCAACCUUCGGAACAACCAAAACAACAUCAAAAUAUUAAAUCAUCAUCGGAUUCAAGGCUAUGAAUCUCAAGAACUUUCAAAUUCCAUUUUUGAUCAAAAACCCAACCAAACCACGUCCGAAUAACCUCAAAUUUUGUAGACAAUUCCAAAAUGACAUAACGAAGCUACAACAACUCUCGGAAUUUCAUUCCGACCCUCGGAUAAAAAUCUCACCUAUCAACUGGAAUUCGCCAAAAUACUAACUUUGCCAAUUCAAGCUUAAUUCUACACCGGCCAUCACAAAAAUAUUCCGGACACACUCCUAAGUCCCAAAUCACCUAACUAAGCUAUCCGAACCAUAAAAUUUGCAUUUCGAGCCCUCUAACACAUAAGUCAAUAUCCGGUUGACUUUUCCAACUUAAGCUUCCUUAAAAGAGACUAAGUGUAAGUUUUAUGAAAGUAUAUAAACUAAAAGUAAAAAAAAGAAGAAAUAUUUUUGUAAGUUUGUUUGUUGAUAAAAUAAAGUAAAAGAGUCAAAACUAAUUGAAAUAUCGAUAUUAGGCCUAAACUAACUAUUUUACGCUAAAAUGGGUGAAAUUUCGGGGAGGGUAAAAAAUAACAUGUCUACAGCUGCCCCUCUUUGACGGAAACGCAAAGAUUCAGACAAAGAAUGACUAGACAAGUUUUUUUGACCCGACCCUUAUUUAGAGAGGCCAAGAGCUGAAAGAAAGGAGAAUGUGACCGAGCCCUGGCAUCUGAGCUGCCUACAUAUCCUUGGAUAUAAAGGAAUCAGGCCAUGUGUAGUUCAGAAAUGAAUGAGGUGAUGGAGUAUGCCGAGGUGGAGCGCCGAUCGAUGUUCCGGUCCGCGGUCUCGUUAUUACAUCAAAAUCAAAAAUAAAAUAUUUCAAAAUCUACGAAGUCGAGAGUAGGGCAGUAUUUCUUAUAAGUUCCAUCUCAAAAAGAAAAAGGAAAAAAAAAAUUCCCUUGUUUCAGAAUUGGGGCAAAGUUUUUUAGAAUGGAUUCCAAAAGUUGUAAAUAAAUUAACUCCGUUGUCUUAGUUAUUUUGAGUCUUUAUGAUAUCCUUUCUUUCUAACCCUGUUCAAAAGCCACAUUACAGUCCAAAAGACCUCCUAGAUAAUCUUUGAGAGUGCUGAGUUUAGACAUGCCAAAAGUAUAUGAUAUUUUUACCAUGGUUAAUGCCUUGUCAUCUGUAGAAUUAGAGGAAAUAAGAAGAAAAGAACAAAAUGAGAGAGUCUUAUUGGUGAAAACCUUCACAGGCACUGUAAGGUGACGGUAAGUAGAGAGAAAGAACAGAAUGAAAGAGGCUUGAUGGUAAAAACCCUUUGGGCACUACAAGUCGAAUAAGGAUUGUGAAUCAGAUUGGAUAAUCGGAGCAUUGAAGCCCAGUUUCACAGCUUAGGGGUAUAACAGGAGUUGAACAUCAGACUUGCUUGAUAGAUUAGGCCACAUGUGCAUGUCAUGGUCAUUAGAGUUGGUAUCCACAUCUGAUAAAUUUUUACUUUGUAGUUUUUUUGUUAGGAAUCAUCUCUUUCCAUUGUCCUUUACUCUGUUCCUUUUGUCUCAUUUACUUCCUCUUCCUGAGUCUGUUUGGUCAGAAAAAGUGAGAAAUGACUUCAAAAUUUGCCACCAGCUUUCCAAUUGCAUAAACCGGGAUCUGGGUAGCACAUCAAAGUAGCGUAAGUCAGGAAAGAACAGCGUGCGCACUGAGUUGGUAACAAUCAGCGUGCUUUGGGAUUCAUGUGAAAUACAAAUGUUUGGUAUAUGUCAAUUCAUGAACAAUGAAAUAGAUCGAGGAUGUUGGGUGAACAGAUCAAAGGUAUUUUCGGUGAUAAGGUUGACAAAGAAAGUGGUUAACCAAUGAUAAGCAAGGUCCUCCAAGCGGAAAUCAAAGUUUUCACAUCAUCAAUAAUAUCCUUUGGGGUGUAUUUCCUCUUAUGAUUAGUAAGCUUAGGCCUUAUCAUACCACCUAUAAGGCUGCUACUUGCCUGCCGCUGCUCAUACACCUUGUCCUUCAGCGGACAUAUAUGGUUAUCAAUGAAUUCUCUCACUUUGAAUAGUUCUGAUUUGUUAAUGCAUGAAGCCUUAAACCUCCAUUCACAAUCUUCUGAAAUACAUAAUAAUGCAUAGUUGCAAAGAAUUAAUCAUUGUACAUAUGAUUAGCAUAAGUGUUUACAAAAAAAUUCACUCAUAUACACACGAAUACAAUUUGAUUAUUUUACAUACUGACAUCUAUAUAUAAAAAAUUUUAUACUACUGAAUUCAAUUAUAGUUAUAUGCAUUUAAAUACAAUGAAUACAACUGAAUACAAUAUUGGGUAUAUGCAUACACUUAAAACCAUAGUAGACAAAAUAAGAAAAUAAUUAGAGCCACUAUAAUGUAAUUAUACCAGUAAAAUACAUAUGAAUACAUGUAUUUAAGGACCAUAAACAAACAUAUGUUAACUACAUCUGUAAUAAUCAAGAGGAAAUCCACAAAUACGCAUAAAUACAACAACGUUAAACUUAGAGCUCGAAUCAAUAAUAGAAAAUACAAAAAAAAAACUUAAAUACAUGCAAACCUGACAGCAUUAGACCUAUCAAUCCGGAAUUGAAACCUUUGAGCCAUAACAUAAUUCUCCAUCACCUCUUUCAAUGUAACCUUAUCCUUAUACACUUGUCCAACCAUAACCUCCCUUUGAUUAGUUUUUGAAAUUAUCAAAUCCUUGUGGAGUUCGAACACUCCAAUCGCUUCUCCUGAAUUGACAAAAUCUAGAGCCAGCGUAUCAUCUGUAUCGGAAUCGUUCCUUUGAACUGCUUCGUUUAUUUGCACAAUGUCGCCUUGAUUUAAACUACCUCCGGAUACAAGUUCUUUUUCAAUAGUUGUUAUGCACAAAGGAUACAUACCAAAUUCUCUGUUCUCUUUUUUCAAUUCUACAUACACUCUGUAACCCAUAUCAUUGUGUAUUUCCAUUGGCGUGCAAUUUCCUUCUACUUUAUAUUGAAUUUUAGUGGACUUUGAGCUCAAAUCUAUACCAGUUGAUUAGAAAUUGAAGCAACCAGAUCAUUAAAGGAGGCAUACUCUUUUAUGAGUAUUCCCUUAAUUGAAAAAUCGAUGUAAUUGCCCUCAUCGUUCCACUUGCCAGAAUGAUGCAACAACACUGUUAAACUUGCCAUAUGUAUAAAAGGAACUAUGUCGUAUUUUGUAUAUAAUUUGUAUCAAUCUAAUUUUCUGUGGUUGAAUUGAUAUCUGCGAAAAGAGAAAAAGGAGAAGUGAAUGGAAGAACUUCGAACAAAUGUUGCUCUGGUUUUCGCUGCUUUUUUUUUUUUUAGCUUGAAUCGUGUAUGGAAGAAUACAGAUUAAUGGGUACUAGUUUUUGUUAGUUGAGUUAAAUUAGGAGAAUAUCAUGUGAUUUGAUUUCCUUCCAUUAUUAACUAGUUUAACCUUCCAGAUUUUGCGCAAAUACGUUACUGUAUUCACAUUAAUGUCGCGUGAAUACAGUUAAAUACAUAUCAACCUUAGCUGGAAUUCCCUUUUUAACGCCUAUUUUUUCUAUUGUAUUAAUGAAUACAAUAGUUUAAAUACAUAAAAUACAUUGUAUAAAACAUAAAAGGUAUCUAUAACACGUAAUAUAGCAAAAAGUAUCUAUAAAUGGCUAAUUAGACCUAAAAGAUGGUGCUUUAUGAAGCCUUAUUUGGUCGCCCCCAUUUAGCCUAUACCCAUUUUUUUUAAACUUUUAACUUGUACCCACUUUUUAAAUAACUUCAGUCCCCUUUCUCCUCCUUCUUCUCCUCCUCAAAGUUAUAUCCGCCUCUUCUUUCUCAAACUUCUCCUUCUCCCUUUUUUACAAGAAAUCUGUUACAGCUAUGUAUAUAACCUGUAUUCACACAAAGAAAAUCCACAAUUAACAACAACCAUAAUUUCAGCUAUUAAAGAAAAAUUAAGAAACUUAUAAUUAAUUACCCCUAUAGUGAGAAUGGAUAAGCCAAGAAAAGCAACAAAAAGGAGAGAUCAAUCCUGGCCAUUAAAAUUUCUAGGAGCAUUCACUACUGGUAUUUGACACUAGCUAUAUGGAAAAGAGCUAUGUAAAUGCUAUCUGCUACAAGUCAAUUAUUUUGCAGGCUGUAAGUAAUCAUUUUAACUAGUUUGGCUAGAGAAUAUUGUGGAGUUACUGAAUCAGGACCUGAUCUCGCAAUCUCACGUUCAUGUGCUUCUUGUUAAUUAGAUGUGACGUUUUUUUUAUAAGGUAAACUAGAUUUGACGAGUUUGAUAGCAAUGACAAUGUAAAAUACUAUUGCUGACAAAAAUAACCGGGUAAAGAUUAUAACUUUUAUAUAGAUAUAUAAGCCAGUUACAAAACAAAAACUUUCGCCAGUUACAAAAACAAAAACUUCAGCUCUAGAGCUGAAGUUCGCCAGUUACAAACAAAAACUUCAGCUCCAGAGCAGAAGUUCGCUAGUUACACAACAAAACGUCAGCUCUAGAGCUGAACUUCAGGCCCGACUAUUAGAAUGCUGAAGUUUUGCGUGAUUGCCUUUGCUACUUCAGCCCCGUAUGCUGAAGUUAUGCGUAAAAGCGAGUACGCUUGUACUUUUUUUUUGCAAAGCGGACACAAAUUAAAACAUGACAUAAAAAACGGGUAUAGAUACAAAUGCCCGAAAAAACACAUUAACUCUAAAGAGGCACCAUCAGUCGUAACUAAUCGGAGAGCAUAAAGGAGAUAAAAUAAUACAAAAAGGCUUGCAAACAAUGACGCACAGUAAUUGAAAGAGACAAAGCGUUGCUGUUUAAGUUGACUAACUUCUACAUGAGAAGCUAGUGAAGGAACCUAAGUGAUCAGGUAAAUUUAUAUCUAUUCCUAUCCUUUAGUAGCAUAAUUAAUUAAAUAGUAGUAAUAUAAUUAUCAAUGUAUAUUUUGAUAAUGAUUAAGACAAUGAUAAAAAGAAAUAAUUAUAAUGAGGAGUGACUUUUAAAGAUGAGAUAUAAGAUUUAGGAAUUUGAAAACAAGAUUUUUAUACUGAUUUGCUUCAGUAACGAAUUUGUAUCAGUUAGUACAUUAGAAUAUAGGAACAAUCAUUAUGUCAUGAGUUUAGUAAUGCAUAAGCUAAAAAUAAUGAGAAUAAUGGUUAGGAAUUUAACUAUUAUAUGAAAGUUGUAGAUAUUUGCAUGUUAGAAAGGAAUGGUAUAAGCAGGUGAGUUCUUCUAAGACGUUACAUUGCAGCGUUACAGUACCUAGUUUGGCAUUUAUUUGUAUACAAAUUUUUAUUAAUUAGAUCUUGGCUUUAAUUUUGGCUUGUCCUAAAUUUAUGAAAGUUACUCAACUAGACUAAUUAGGACGUGUUAUUUAAUAUUUUGGAUGGAUUGAGGUCAUUGGAAACCGUUUAGCUGGUAUUCUAGAUGUUGUAAGGUUGAGAAACUUCCCGUUAGCAAGGUAAGAGAGACUUUAAACUUUGGGUGUUUGCUUUUUCUAAAAUUUGUUUUGAAAGUAUAAUUUUUUUCUACCUAGUCCAUGUGUUGGAACGAGCGUGCGCUUGGCAGAAUCGGCGGUAUUUGACCAGCCACAAAUAUAUAUUAUUUUGUAAAAAGCUAAAAUUAUUUAAUAAGUGAUUUGUAGUGUAGUGUGAUGUGGCGUAGCCUUGUGCUUGUUGGGGCAUUAGAAAUUAUUUUUUCGCUGCCGUAAUAUAUUUGGGGCAUUGUGUAUGCCGCCGUGAUAGAUUUAGGGCACUGUAUAUGCUGCCGCUAUAUAUUUAGGGCAUUGUGUAUGCUGCGGUGAUAGAUUUUAGACAUUGUGUAUGUCGCCGUGAUAGAUUUGAGGCACUGUGUAUGCUGAUGUGGACUCGUCGGGGUGUUUGAUUAAUUUCCUGCAAUGUCGUUAAUGACAAGUUCUUAAUGUAGAUUGUGUUGAGAUAUAAAUAAUAUUAUUAUUGCAUAAUUGUUUGGACCUUAUAGAGAAAUUAUAUGAUGAAAGAUUUAUGCGCUCGUUGUGUAUUUGUAUUUUCUAAAACUUGUUCCACAGUUAUUCAGUUUGGUGGGUCGAUGAUCUUACUGGGUUAUAUUUACGUAUAACUCACUCCUUACCUGCAUGUCCAUGCAUAUACUAUUGAUGAAGACGGAGCUAGUAGCUGACGAGUUCGCUAGAGUUGAUUCAGUUAUUGAGGUAAGCCGCCGCAUUAUUCGUGGAGGCUGCCAAAAGAAUUUUUAUUAUAUAUUCAUAUGAUGUCUUUUGUAAUUCUCUUAGAUGCUCCAU
RNAcentral lists this long non-coding RNA (9099 nucleotides) under Nicotiana tabacum (common tobacco). Its description in RNAcentral is "long non-coding RNA (NTAB_LNC000496)". The record is from RNAcentral. Lineage: Eukaryota; Viridiplantae; Streptophyta; Magnoliopsida; Solanales; Solanaceae.